GACCCUAUUUUCUAACUUGAACCCCCGUCGGAGCCCGAGCUUUUCAAAUUAAAGCGUUCAGGGGCUUUGUCGAUUUUUCAGAAAUACCUUAUUAUGUUGGUGGUAUUUGUCUGCUUUGGUGUUCCGUUGUUUGCCGAUUUAAUUCGGUAAUUAAACGAAGUAGCCUCCCAAAAAUGUAUAACUGCAACAUAGAAUUGGCCUCAGAUUUCUCAUUUUCUCUCAGAUAUCCCAGGAAUAUCUUUCACGGUGAUCCUGUCAGUCAUCCUAUUGGAAAUAUUUUGUAUGAACUGAAAAUGUUGGGAACAUAAUACGAAAAGGACUAAAAAUUCAUUACUCCACUAAAGAUAAACAAGUAUAGGAAGCAUAACCAAAGAUGAAGUGUUAGUUAGUUCUACGCUCAAUAGUCGAAAAAAAUACGCAAUUCUGGUUUUGAGCAAGAAAUAUUUCCCAAACCCGAAAAAAAAAUUUUAUACGACUUUUGAGCAUUACAAAAUAGACAAAACUAGUUUUGCGCAAUUUAAAAUGCACAGAACUAGUUUUGAAUAUUUCUAAAUGACCAGCUAUAAUUCUGCUUUUUUUAUUCAAUUAUCGCCAGCAUCGGAAUAAACUAGAUAUAAAGUUGGAGAUUGUAUAUAAAUUUAUUUUAUUUAAAUUAAAAAUAUUGUAACAAAUACAAAAUCAAAUAAAUAAUUAUUCUUUGGUAAGUAUUCAGUUAAUUUAAAAAUAUUAUUUAUUUAAACAAGAGCUUGAAUGAUGACAUUUAAAAUUACAGAGGACAUUUUUCUUUUGACAAGAGCAUGAUCAGCUAAUACACUUUUUCAUGCAUAUACAUAAAAUAAAUCCUUGUUUAGACCCUGAUAUAUUGGAUGAUGCUGUUCUAAGUGAUAUUUCUUUGUCGUUCUUGGCUCCAAAAUUGUUGUUCUCUAUAAAAAUAUUAUUAUUAGCCAACUGAAACUCGUUUCUACAAAAAUGUUUUUGUAAAAUUCCAGACUUUGUUGCUAAUUUGUAAAACCCAUUAUCAAUUGAUUUAACAACUGCCACUACAUUUCGUGGUGCUAAUCUGCCACGAUCCACGUCUGGUAUGCGUAUAAGGAUAUUGUCGCCAACUGAGGCUGGUUAAAAUUUUUUAUUUGAUUGUGCGAGCAUUAAAUUGGCUUAUACUUCCAAACCUCUUUUAGCGUUUUCACAAUUCGUAAUUAUAUCGCAGGAACGUUGACAAAGAAAACAUUGAAACUCUAAUUCCAAUUCGUUGUUAACUUUUAAAAUACUGCCUGCUGCAUGAAUUUUUCCUUUGCACUUUGAGCAAUUUUCCACGAUGGUGUUAGGCUUUUGACACACAGUACAUAACGAAAGUUUAUUUUCGUUUCUCGUCUUUUCAAUGGCUAUAUUAACUUUAGAAGUUUCUUCUUCUUCUUUUUCUCUAUCUUGAACAAAAUCCUGCACUUCACUAUCCGCCAUAUUUUUUAAAUCGAUAAUAGAAAGUUGCACUUCGGUAUCAUCCAUAUUAUCCUUAUUGACUAUAAAAUCUUGCUUGCACUUUACUAUUUGCCAUAUUUUCCCUAUGAAUCAUAGAAACUUGCACGUCAUCUUCAACUGUUUCGGUUUCAUCUAUAGAUCCUAUAGUAUUUUGAAGUUUGUUGCUUUCAUUUAACAGUUUUUCGAGAUCGUCUUCAGUUUCCAAAGAAGGAACUAAAUCUUGGAGCAAGUCAGUAUCCUUUAAACUAUUUCUUUGAGCGCAACCAAACAUAGCCUCGUAUGGAGAUCGCUUAAUUGCACUGUGGUAGCUUCUAUUUUUUAUUGACUGUACGAAACACAGUCCAUCGGCCCAGUGUUUUGUAUUUUCAUCUGACAUCCAACACAUAAGAGCAUAUCGCACAUCUCUGUUACACCGUUCCACAGAACCUUGACUCUGUGAGUGGCGCAGUUUUCCAUGAACGAUUUUCAAAUGUGGCCACUGGCAUUUUAAAUUAUCAAUGACCUGAUUGGAAAAUUCACGGCCAUUAUCAGAAUGAAGUAUUGACGGAGCUCCAAAUAAACAAAAAAUUUCUAUUAGGUUUCUGGCAGUUUCUACAGCAGUUUUACUUUUCAUUGGGCGUAGAACACAAAACUUAGUCAAAUGGUCUUGAUAGUUCAAGAUGAAUUUGUAGUCUCCAUCUGGGUCGAUCUGCAUAUCAAUAAAAUCAACUUGGCACCGAGAAUUCAUUAGUUUACCUAAAAUAGGCUUAACAACGAUUCCCUUUCUAGGUGCCGUUUUUUUCAGUUGACAUAUUUCACACAGAUUUGGGUCUAUAUUAAUAGUUUCUCUAGUAAUGUUUGCGUAUUUUUUCUUUAACUCUUCUUCCAAUGCUGAAACAAAGUGCAUGCGUUAUAAAAAAAUUCUAGAUUGAGGUCUAACGUGCCGGUACCGGUAUCCGAAUAAAUCCCGGUAAUAAGACGUUAAACCAAUAACCUAAUUAUUAGUUUAUUGGUUGCUAAUAAUUUUAACUAACCUUAUAAGUUAUUGUUAAUUCUUGUCGUUAUCCUACAAUUUCCUGGCAUUUGUUUGGAUACCGGUAGCGGGAGGCAUAUUUACUAAAUUAAUUUAAUAUUGUACAACUCAAGUACCGCCUGGAUGCACCAUAGCGUGCCGUCCCAUUGGCUAGACAAGCCGUUAAAAACAGCUACAUAUGUCAGGAUUCUAUUGGGUGAUUUAGUUUAUAAAUUAGUUUGUGUUAUUCCAGGUUGGUUUUGAUUAGCAGUUAGUUUUUUUUGAUUAUUCGACACGCUAAAUCAAAACAAACCAUAUCAAACCAACUUAAGGUAAUCAAACUAACCUGAACUAACCCAAACUAAUUUGUAAACUAAACCAGCCAAUAGGAUCCUGAAAUAUGUAGCUGUUUUUAACGGCUUGUCUAGACGGGGCGGUACUUGCAUUGUAAAAUAUUAGCAUUAGAUUUAGUAAAUAAUUAGUGUUGUUCCGAGACAUACCUUUAUGCCGUUUAUGACUCGUAGAAAUAUGUGCCUGGUCAACGAUAGGAAACACUUCAUCCGUGGAAACAAAAUAUAGUAUGGCAUCAGAAUCUUCUUGGCGUUUUUUAAUUAACUUUUCCACGCCAUUUAUACUUAUUAUAUCAAAACGCUUUAUUCUUCUGUACUGUUUAGCAGAUAGGGGUUUUGAUUGGGCUUUGCACAAAUUUGCGUCCUUUACAUCAUUAGGUAUAGCGAGGUAUUGAUCUUUCCCCAUAAGAUUAUGUUUUUGAGUACCUGAAGCCUCCAAUAACCGAACUAAUUGUAACUGGAAUUCAGCUCGCAUUUUUAUAGAGGUAAAUGGUUAAAUAUCGUACUUGAAAUAAUUGUGAUAUUUAUAAUUUCACGAGCACAAACGAAAUAAAUUCAAAACAACAACAUAAACAUAACCCUACUUUUUAGCUGGGUUUGGGAGGCUGCAAAAUAAGCAAAACAAGUGCUGAUAACAUAGAAAUAUACAGAAUAAAAACUAAAAUUGCGUAUAUUUUUCAGGCAAUGCCCGAAUUCGACUAUUGAGUGUAACAUAUACAACACCUCCAAUACCUUCUAUGAUGUAUACAAAAAAAAACGACAUAAUAUUCAAAAAGGGAAAACGACUUUAAUAGGAAUAUUAAGAUAGUUGCAUCUUCAAUAUAAUAUAGCACUGUCUGAUAAGG
This 3662-nucleotide long non-coding RNA is filed under the name Anthonomus grandis grandis. RNAcentral's name for it is "uncharacterized LOC126736633". Lineage: Eukaryota; Metazoa; Arthropoda; Insecta; Coleoptera; Curculionidae. The record is from RNAcentral.